GCACCUACAAUCUGCUAAUGCCAUGAUAUAUAGCUAAAAUGUCUAAAUUCUCAUUUAAAUUUAAAGCCAAAAUGAAUCAACCAUUCAAAAUACAUCCCAAUAAUACCAUUCGUUUACAAUUUCAAAUUACUACAUCCACAAAAUAUAUAUCAAACAAUCCAUAUAUGCAUCUCAAAUUCACUUUUCAAUAUAAAUUACUACUAUAUUGAAUUGUGAAUUUGAUUACAUCCACAACCUAACAUAGACAUUAGACAUCAUUCAUCAAGAAGUGAUCAACCAUAAGUAUAUAAAGCAGCACCUUUACAAGAACCAUAAGUAUAUAAAGCAGCACCUUUUCAUGCUUCUGUACCUGAGUGGGCAACAACAAUGAUUUCCUGUUAGUUUCCUUUACAAGAACCAACUAAUUUUAAGGACUUGAUGAGAGUUGCUUAAUUAUUCAUGGAACUUCAAGAUACAUCUAUUGACAUUCUACUUGCCUAUUUCAAAUGCCUAGUGAAAGGAGAACAAAAUGAACCUAUAAUUUGUUUUUGAUAACAAGCUCAUUACCUUCUCUUGUAAACUUCUGCAGAUGUGUUCUCUGGCAGCAAAAUACCAGCUGCAUGUUAGUAAGUUUUGUGGCCUGGAAGGACAAGGUAGGCUUGUGUGAUGGUGUGUGCAUGGAUGCAGAUACUUCAACUAGCAAUGAACUACAAAUGGCAGCUGGUUAUGAAACUGAGCAAGUAAGAUAUCACAUGUUAAUAAACUGAAGUUACAGUGAAAUACAGAAAAAUAGCUUCCCAAAUCAUUUGUUAACCAUGCUUUCACUAACAGAUGUGUAAUAUAAUUUUUAUGAACAAUCAGGUACAGGAAAUUAAAUAUUUUAGAGCUACAAGUUACUAGAACUGAUGCUGACUAUAGUGAAGAACACAGAAUCAUAUAAUAACAGCUAAGCCAAUAUCAGUCAUUGCAAAUGCUCAGAAUCUCUUCAUGCUGUGAAGAGAAAUUAUCCCAUCAGUGUAUAAGCACAUAUACUAUCUCCAAUACAUAUAAUAAAUUCCAAGUAUGACCUACGAAAGUAAUAGGAGGAGAAAGAAAUAGGAAAAUCAAGGGACAAUUGUAUGAUAAUUUUCUGUAGAUAAAUGUAGAGAUUUCUUCCCUACGACCAUUAAUAUGGUUUUUACAAGGAAAUCACCACUACACUGCUUCUGGAUCAUGACUUGCACAGGGCAAGUCAUGAUUUACUGAUUUAAUCUUGUGAAAAUCAAGUUGUGCAGAAAUUAAAAGCUUUUCAUGACCUGUGAAAAUCAAGUUGUGCAGAAAGUAGGAACUGGGGCGGAUAUUAUAGGAGCACACAAAUACACGUAUGAAUAUCUGUCAUCUGUGCAAGAAACGCACAAGCAAGCGUGCACGCUGACACACAAAAACACCUUAUAUUAUAAAAAGUUAUCUACCCUAUGCUUAUGUGCUUUUUCCUUUUAACUAUUCACAGCAAGAUGGAUAGAUAAUAGCUCAGAUAAGUAACAAAAGAAAGUAAAUUAAUAUUUCCAAGAACUAACAACUAUAGUUCUUGAACAUAAAUUUUGCGAUAACAUAGAAUCAGUGAUCAGGAAUGAAAAGAUUAUAUGACAAAAGAAAAAACUAUAAAAAGUCACCUUCAUCUUCUAUAGCUUAAACCUCUUCUACAGCCUCAGUUCUGAACAUGUCAACAGUAACUGAUGGUGCAAAAGCCGGCUGACUAGAGGGCUCUGAUACAUGAUUCCACUCUGAACCAGGAAGUGUGGUCUUGUUAAAAGACGACUGAGCAGGUACUACCGGUGCAGAUUGUCCCUUUGCAACUUGUAACUUCAAAAUGACAAUCAAGCAGAAACUCAGUCCCAUGAUGUC
RNAcentral lists this long non-coding RNA (1863 nucleotides) under Panax ginseng (ginseng). Its description in RNAcentral is "long non-coding RNA (PGIN_LNC015076)". The record is from RNAcentral. Lineage: Eukaryota; Viridiplantae; Streptophyta; Magnoliopsida; Apiales; Araliaceae.